RNAcentral lists this long non-coding RNA (784 nucleotides) under Bemisia tabaci. Its description in RNAcentral is "lncRNA ENSSSA1NGG007839". Lineage: Eukaryota; Metazoa; Arthropoda; Insecta; Hemiptera; Aleyrodidae. The record is from RNAcentral.
AUGAUUUUACAUUUUACAGAGCUCCUAUCAAGUGACAGCUCUGACAUGAAUGGGACAAGUCAUUAUAGUUGGAGUGAUUCUGCGCAGUCAGACCCUAUUUCUUUGAAGGUUGAAGAACACAUUGAAGAAGUGACUACGAGAUAUAGCUCUGAUGAUGAGGAAAAAUCAGACUUCGACAAUUUCUUAUCGAAUUUGAACUUCUUGAAAGGGCAGCGUGCGCCAUGCCCUGAAUUAGGUUGUGAUAUAGUGGAUGCGGGUGCUGGAUCCUCCUCGGAUGAUGACUGGUCGGAGAACGAUAGCACAGAUGGUUUGGAUAUAGUUAAUCCAGUGGACUCAUGGGAAGAAAACUGGUUAUUCCAACGCAGAAGAUUAGCAAAAAUAAUUCAUGUCAUCAGCCUGUGCCAGUCCCGAUGUUGGUGCCGAACCCAGCUCUCGAAUACCGGGCGCUGAUUGGGGAUGUCGAUGCGGAUGAGAUGUCAGACUUAUCUGAAUGCAGUGACUCUGUUUGGAACAACUAAUUGAUGAACCAAGUGAGUUUCUUACAACCGAUCAUGGUGACGAUCUAAGUUCAACCUAAUUAUACGUACGUACGUACGUAUGCGCGCAGUUUGCUGACGUAACAAAAGGGCUACAAAUACAGUUAUCGCAGGAAGGUCAUUUCAAUUUUUGCUCACUACGCGAAAAACAAGCCGCGGAAAUGAUAGAAAGAAUCGUUCAAAUUUAGGAGUGUCCACAAUUUGUAUCUAUUAAGUUUCAUCGCGCGAAUUAUAUGAGUUGGGAAUAG